RNAcentral lists this non-coding RNA (189 nucleotides) under Thalassiothrix antarctica. Lineage: Eukaryota; Bacillariophyta; Fragilariophyceae; Thalassionematales; Thalassionemataceae. The record is from RNAcentral.
CGAAAAUACAAAGAAUGAUAAUGAACAGCAGGAUGAAAAACAGGAGAAAUGGGACCCUAUUCGAUUUGUAACUCAAAGCUCUAAAUUUUUUUCUCUUCCUUCUAUAUCUUUUUCUGACAAAUCGAGCAUUAUAAUAUCUCCAGGUGACAUCCUCUGGAGUGCAUUUUCUUCUGAUGAUAACGAAAGUAA